GACGAACGCUGGCGGCGUGCUUAACACAUGCCAGUCGAACGGAAAGGCUCCAGCUUGCUGGAGUACUCGAGUGGCGAACGGGUGAGUAACACGUGGGUAAUCUGCCCUGCACUCUGGGAUAAGCCUGGGAAACUGGGUCUAAUACUGGAUAUGACCUUUCUCCUUAUGGGGUUUGGUGGAAAGUUUUUCGGUGUAGGAUGAGCCCGCGGCCUAUCAGCUUGUUGGUGGGGUGAUGGCCUACCAAGGCGACGACGGGUAGCCGGCCUGAGAGGGUGAUCGGCCACAUUGGGACUGAGAUACGGCCCAGACUCCUACGGGAGGCAGCAGUGGGGAAUAUUGCACAAUGGGCGGAAGCCUGAUGCAGCGACGCCGCGUGAGGGAUGACGGCCUUCGGGUUGUAAACCUCUUUCAGCAGGGACGAAGCGUAAGUGACGGUACCUGCAGAAGAAGCACCGGCUAACUAUGCG
Molecule: ribosomal RNA, 467 nt
Filed under: uncultured bacterium
Lineage: Bacteria
Description: partial 16S ribosomal RNA
Rfam family: Bacterial small subunit ribosomal RNA
Source: RNAcentral